GCAUUGUUAAAGCGAGCCGUGCUCAAUUUUUACGACCUGGUUUUUUUUGGGAGGGUUUUAAGCGAACCGCUGCACCACAGCUACCGUAGUCCUCGAGUGACGACGGCACUUGAGCCCAAAAUUUCCUAAGGCUAAGCGAGAUAGGUGUUAAAAUGAACCGUGCCCCAAUUUUAUGGCCUUCCUUGUUAAGGGAAUCACUGCAGUUGUUAAGUGAGUCGCAAGUCGUUAAGUGGAUCCGGCUUCCCCGUGGACUUUGCUUGUCAGGAGGUCACAAAAGGGGAUCGCGUGACACACAUACCCCCGGGACACUGCCACCGUCAUAAAUACGAGUCAGUGGCCAAGUGUCUGAAUUUGGCUCACGGGACCAUGGGGAUGUUGCAAUGGUCGUAAGUGUGAAAAACAGCCCUUUUCCCCAGGGCCGUGUCAACUCGCAAAGCAUCCCUGGCCUCCUCUCGAGUUGCCAUAGGCCAAGGGGGAUGGGAAACAGGCGAAACGGCAUGGCAGCCAAAGACAAAUACACAUUCCAGACUUACUCAAGGUGUCUCCCAGGGUUACCCAAAGCAGCCGGAGGGGAGUGAUCUCUACAACCAGCAUGGCGAAUGUGAUUGAUGACACACCCUGGGGGAGGGAAGGGGGGGGAAACAUGUUUGGGGCGUAAAUUACGUAGGGUCAGACUGGCUUCAGUUGGGAACGUGCCGACACGAAGCGCCUAAUAAAUAACUGGAUUUCGUUUGAAGCUUGGCUCGAGGCUCAUGAUCUGAAUGCGACCUGUAAUUCUCCAAGUCAACCAGGUAGCAUCAAAUUUAUGUGGUAUAACCUGUUUCAAAGGUAUUUCCUUAUUUCCUCAUCUUUUCAGGUGAGUUACUUUCAUGCCGAGCUGCUAAAAAAGACAACAAUUUCAUCCCGGCUUCCCAGAGGAUAAUUGUGAUGUGGUGACAGGCGAGGCGUGGAAAGGAAGGCCGGUGGAUUUAGCAAAGAGGAUAAAAGAUUGCCCACAAAGGUGUCACAAGGCUGAUUUUGAAAAAGCUGGUCUGGCAAGAAGGAUAUAUUUUUUCCCCCCCCCAAAUUCGGGGCAAAUUCGAAGGAAGACAGCGAAGAAACCCAGCGAUUAAAAUCGCCGUCAAGAAUAUCGACAGGCUACGAAGAUCCAUCUGCGGGCAGGGGGCUGGGGUGUCCUGAUCUCCAAGUUUCCUGAUUUUGCAAAGAUUGUGGGGAGGGGAUUAUGGCGUCGGUGACAACGCAGCUUGUCAUUUGGGUCUUCUUGCUGU
Non-coding RNA from Pantherophis guttatus, 1268 nucleotides. The record is from RefSeq and is a predicted model, not a curated record. NCBI's taxonomy places the organism in Eukaryota, Metazoa, Chordata, Lepidosauria, Squamata, Colubridae.